AUGAGUUGCGCGGCGGUGUGUGCUCCCCCCUCCGGUCUCGGCCGCCACCACGGCUUCUCCUCCUCCCCCUCAACUGUAUGCAGGCGACGGGGGAGACCUCCGUACACUAUCCGGGCCUGUGCCAACUCCGGCGACGCGGAUGACAGCGGCGGAGGGCUCCUACCUCGUAUGGUGCUGCACGACUCGCUCGACGCCGCGGGGGUCGUCACCGAUCACGCUAGGGCGGCGAGGGAGGGGUUCGCGACGCAGAUCGGGAGGCUCACGAGACUCAACGCGGAGACCAGCAUCGCCAUCAGCCGCGGCGCCGAUCUCGCGCGGGCCGCGCUCUGUAUCGCGGCCGAGGACGACUCGCUCGUCUCCCACUCCUCCGUGCCGCUCCCCGUCGACGCCUUCAUUGCUCGCCUUGACGACCUUUCCACCGGGUUCCUCGCCGCGGGAUUCCUCCCGCCCUCUGGAGCGCCGCCCGAGGUCUUCUUCGACCAUCUCGACCGCUACCUCUACGUCCACAAGGGCUUUCGAAGAACAAACGUAGCAUCAGAUGCUCGGGCUAUGUAUCUUCACUCGACUUUGACAUGCCGAUCAGGAUCAGCUCUAAUGCUUUCGUUGAUAUAUUCAGAGUUGCUAAAGACACUACGGUUAUAUGGCUUACUAGACUUCGAUGAGGAGAUCUCCUUUCCACAUGAUCUCAAUGGCCUCCCUAGGGGCUAUGACAAACGAAGAAGCAAGUUUUGUGAUGAACCAAAUAUUAUGACAGCAAAGUCACUUUUGGUUGAGGGUCUUUUGUUUCACCCGCUCAUGUUUGAGACCCUACAGUUCAGUUACACUCGCAAAGUUAUUACGUAUCCCCCAAACCAGAUUUUACAAACUCUGAAGGGUAUGUUUUGGCCGUUCCAGUCUAACCAGUCAAGUAGCUUAUUUUUGAAUGCUGUUGCUGCAAACCACCAUGGCCCUGGUAAUGUAGGCGGCAGUCAAGCAAGGUCACAUGGCAAUAUAAGUGCCAUAGAGAUGGCUGCUGCUAAAUCUGCUCAACAUAGGUUGAUGCGUGGAGUAUGGACUAAUGUGCGCUUUGGUGAUAUGCGUCGUGCUUUGGCAGCUUGCGAGAGAUUGAUCCUACUGAAUCACAAUCCCUGUGAGCUUAGGGACUAUGCUGCCCUUCUGUACCACUGUGGCUACUACAAAGAUUGCCUGCAGUACUUAACGUCGUACCAAAAUGCCAUGGUUGGACAGCCCCGGACCAAUCCACUGGAGAUGUUGGAGGACGACGCAGUGAACACUCUCACGGCACGAGUAAACCUAAUUUUAGCAGAGGAUGGCUGGGACAGCCACAAACCUGCCGCAAGUUACUGGACCAAAAAUUCUGAGCCAUGGUAG
This 1371-nucleotide ribosomal RNA is filed under the name Triticum aestivum (bread wheat). RNAcentral's name for it is "partial small subunit ribosomal RNA". Lineage: Eukaryota; Viridiplantae; Streptophyta; Magnoliopsida; Poales; Poaceae. The record is from RNAcentral.